This 253-nucleotide ribosomal RNA is filed under the name uncultured bacterium. RNAcentral's name for it is "partial 16S ribosomal RNA". It matches the Rfam family "Bacterial small subunit ribosomal RNA", at positions 524 to 776 of the family's 1533-position model. The record is from RNAcentral.
UACAGAGGGUGCAAGCGUUAAUCGGAAUUACUGGGCGUAAAGCGUGCGUAGACGGUUACAUAAGUCGGGUGUGAAAGCCCCGGGCUCAACCUGGGAAUGGCAGUGGAAACUAGGGGACUGGAAUCUGGCAGAGGGGGGUGGAAUGCCGCGUAUAGCAGUGAAAUGCGUAGAGAUGCGGCGGAACACCGAUGGCGAAGGCAGCCCCCUGGGCUGAGAUUGACGCUCAGGCACGAAAGCGUGGGGAGCAAACAGG